Molecule: ribosomal RNA, 779 nt
Filed under: Clostridioides difficile Y343
Lineage: Bacteria; Bacillati; Bacillota; Clostridia; Peptostreptococcales; Peptostreptococcaceae
Description: bacterial SSU rRNA
Rfam family: Bacterial small subunit ribosomal RNA
Source: RNAcentral
AGAGUUUGAUCCUGGCUCAGGAUGAACGCUGGCGGCGUGCCUAACACAUGCAAGUUGAGCGAUUUACUUCGGUAAAGAGCGGCGGACGGGUGAGUAACGCGUGGGUAACCUACCCUGUACACACGGAUAACAUACCGAAAGGUAUGCUAAUACGGGAUAAUAUAUUUGAGAGGCAUAUCUUAAUAUCAAAGGUGAGCCAGUACAGGAUGGACCCGCGUCUGAUUAGCUAGUUGGUAAGGUAACGGCUUACCAAGGCGACGAUCAGUAGCCGACCUGAGAGGGUGAUCGGCCACAUUGGAACUGAGACACGGUCCAAACUCCUACGGGAGGCAGCAGUGGGGAAUAUUGCACAAUGGGCGAAAGCCUGAUGCAGCAACGCCGCGUGAGUGAUGAAGGCCUUCGGGUCGUAAAACUCUGUCCUCAAGGAAGAUAAUGACGGUACUUGAGGAGGAAGCCCCGGCUAACUACGUGCCAGCAGCCGCGGUAAUACGUAGGGGGCUAGCGUUAUCCGGAUUUACUGGGCGUAAAGGGUGCGUAGGCGGUCUUUCAAGUCAGGAGUGAAAGGCUACGGCUCAACCGUAGUAAGCUCUUGAAACUGGGAGACUUGAGUGCAGGAGAGGAGAGUGGAAUUCCUAGUGUAGCGGUGAAAUGCGUAGAUAUUAGGAGGAACACCAGUUGCGAAGGCGGCUCUCUGGACUGUAACUGACGCUGAGGCACGAAAGCGUGGGGAGCAAACAGGAUUAGAUACCCUGGUAGUCCACGCUGUAAACGAUGAGUAC